This 460-nucleotide ribosomal RNA is filed under the name uncultured bacterium. RNAcentral describes it as "partial 16S ribosomal RNA". It matches the Rfam family "Bacterial small subunit ribosomal RNA", at positions 338 to 795 of the family's 1533-position model. The record is from RNAcentral.
CCUACGGGCGGCAGCAGUGAGGAAUAUUGGUCAAUGGACGAGAGUCUGAACCAGCCAAGUAGCGUGAAGGAUGACUGCCCUAUGGGUUGUAAACUUCUUUUAUAUGGGAAUAAAAUGUUCCACGUGUGGGAUUUUGUAUGUACCAUAUGAAUAAGGAUCGGCUAACUACGUGCCAGCAGCCGCGGUAAUACGGAGGAUCCGAGCGUUAUCCGGAUUUAUUGGGUUUAAAGGGAGCGUAGGUGGAUUGUUAAGUCAGUUGUGAAAGUUUGCGGCUCAACCGUAAAAUUGCAGUUGAAACUGGCAGUCGUGAGUACAGUAGAGGUGAGCGGAAUUCGUGGUGUAGCGGUGAAAUGCUUAGAUAUCACGAAGAACUCCGAUGGCGAAGGCAGCUCACUGGACUGCAACUGACACUGAGGCUCGAAAGUGUGGGUAUCAAACAGGAUUAGAUACCCCAGUAGUC